This 468-nucleotide ribosomal RNA is filed under the name uncultured bacterium. Its description in RNAcentral is "partial 16S ribosomal RNA". It matches the Rfam family "Bacterial small subunit ribosomal RNA", at positions 36 to 507 of the family's 1533-position model. The record is from RNAcentral.
GCCGCCCUCUGGCGGCGUGCUUAACACAUGCAAGUCGAACGGAAAGGCCCUGCUUUUGUGGGGUGCUCGAGUGGCGAACGGGUGAGUAACACGUGAGUAACCUGCCCUUGACUUUGGGAUAACUUCAGGAAACUGGGGCUAAUACCGGAUAGGAGCUCCUGCUGCAUGGUGGGGGUUGGAAAGUUUCGGCGGUUGGGGAUGGACUCGCGGCUUAUCAGCUUGUUGGUGGGGUAGUGGCUUACCAAGGCUUUGACGGGUAGCCGGCCUGAGAGGGUGACCGGCCACAUUGGGACUGAGAUACGGCCCAGACUCCUACGGGAGGCAGCAGUGGGGAAUAUUGCACAAUGGGCGGAAGCCUGAUGCAGCAACGCCGCGUGCGGGAUGACGGCCUUCGGGUUGUAAACCUCUUUCGCCUGUGACGAAGCGUGAGUGACGGUAAUGGGUAAAGAAGCACCGGCUAAGUACGUG